GACGAACGCUGGCGGCGUGCUUAACACAUGCAAGUCGAACGGAAAGGCCCUGCUUUUUUGGGGUGCUCGAGUGGCGAACGGGUGAGUAACACGUGAGUAACCUGCCCUUGACUUUGGGAUAACUUCAGGAAACUGGGGCUAAUACCGGAUAGGAGCUCCUGCUGCAUGGUGGGGGUUGGAAAGUUUCGGCGGUUGGGGAUGGACUCGCGGCUUAUCAGCUUGUUGGUGGGGUAGUGGCUUACCAAGGCUUUGACGGGUAGCCGGCCUGAGAGGGUGACCGGCCACAUUGGGACUGAGAUACGGCCCAGAGUCCUACGGGAGGCAGCAGUGGGGAAUAUUGCACAAUGGGCGGAAGCGUGAUGCAGCAACGCCGCGUGCGGGAUGACGGCCUUCGGGGUGUAAACCGCUUUAGCCUGUGACGAAGCGUGAGUGACGGUAAUGGGUAAAGAAGCACCGGCUAACUACGUG
Molecule: ribosomal RNA, 468 nt
Filed under: uncultured bacterium
Lineage: Bacteria
Description: partial 16S ribosomal RNA
Rfam family: Bacterial small subunit ribosomal RNA
Source: RNAcentral